RNAcentral lists this ribosomal RNA (253 nucleotides) under uncultured bacterium. RNAcentral describes it as "partial 16S ribosomal RNA". It matches the Rfam family "Bacterial small subunit ribosomal RNA", at positions 524 to 776 of the family's 1533-position model. The record is from RNAcentral.
UACGUAGGGCGCAAGCGUUGUCCGGAAUUAUUGGGCGUAAAGAGCUCGUAGGCGGCUUGUCGCGUCGAUUGUGAAAGCCCGGGGCUUAACUCCGGGUCUGCAGUCGAUACGGGCAGGCUAGAGUGCGGUAGGGGAGACUGGAAUUCCUGGUGUAGCGGUGAAAUGCGCAGAUAUCAGGAGGAACACCGGUGGCGAAGGCGGGUCUCUGGGCCGUAACUGACGCUGAGGAGGGAAAGCGUGGGGAGCGAACAGG